This 497-nucleotide ribosomal RNA is filed under the name uncultured bacterium. Its description in RNAcentral is "partial 16S ribosomal RNA". It matches the Rfam family "Bacterial small subunit ribosomal RNA", at positions 28 to 507 of the family's 1533-position model. The record is from RNAcentral.
GAUGAACGCUGGCGGCGUGCCUAAUACAUGCAAGUCGAGCGAACAGAUGAGGAGCUUGCUCCUCUGACGUUAGCGGCGGACGGGUGAGUAACACGUGGAUAACCUACCUAUAAGACUGGGAUAACUUCGGGAAACCUGAGCUAAUACCGGAUAAUAUAUUGAACCGCAUGGUUCAAUAGUGAAAGACGGUUUUGCUUUCACUUAUAGAUGGAUCCGCGCCGCAUUAGCUAGUUGGUAAGGUAACGGCUUACCAAGGCAACGAUGCGUAGCCGACCUGAGAGGGUGGUCGCACAGACUGGAAGUGAGACACGGCCCAGACUCCUACGGGAGGACGCAGUAGGGAAUCUUCCGCGAUGGGGGAAAGCCUGACGGAGCAACGCGGGGUGAGUGAUGAAGGUCUUCGGACCGUAAAACUCUGUUAUUAGGGAAGAACAAAUGUGUAAGUAACUAUGCACGUCUUGACGGUACCUGAUCAGAAAGCCACGGCUAACUACGUG